UGCGGCUGGAUCACCUCCUUUCUAAGGAAGA
Molecule: unclassified non-coding RNA, 31 nt
Filed under: Candidatus Liberibacter asiaticus
Lineage: Bacteria; Pseudomonadati; Pseudomonadota; Alphaproteobacteria; Hyphomicrobiales; Rhizobiaceae
Description: partial 16S-23S ribosomal RNA intergenic spacer
Source: RNAcentral